CCGCCGAAAGUGUGAAUUUGAAUCCUUGCUGCUGGGAUUUGAAUUUUUUCUCAUUGUAAGCUCUUUCUUUCACUCAGAAGUGUUGUAUAUUUUUUUAAAUCUAGUUUUUGUUAGGAUAGUACACAGUAGAUAUUUUGAACAUAGUGCUCUAUUAUUGAUUGUUUAGAAACUGCUUUAUUAACUAUAGUAUUUAUCAACCUAACCUUCUCAAGCCUUACCUUCUAUUUGUAAUUGGUCGAUAUAUAUAAAUGUUUCCUUUUUUGUCAUACAUUGUGGAUGCCUGCUGAAUACUUAGCUUUUAUAUCUAUGUUUCCUUUUGUUGGCUCGCAUCCUCUCUUUCACUUCUGUCUUACCGUUAUCUUUUAGUUUGCAUAAGAAAAGAUGAAACUAUUGUGCAACUAGAUGGAUUGUUAUCAUCUCUUAGUUGUAGUUUUUGUUAUCGUCUCUUAGCAGUGGUUCCUGUUUUUACUGUCCCAGUCACAUUCCUAGUCGUUUCUCAUUGAAUUGGAUGGAGAUGUCCAUGUAACAGCCAUGUCCAUGUAUCUGCUAUAUGACUAUGUAAGCACUGUCGCACAUGUCUAAUUAUAGGUCGCACACGUCUACAUAUUGGCAUUUCCAUCCAUUUGAUUAGAGUAAUUAGAUGGAACUACUAGGAUUACAGUGUAUUGAAUAGUUUAAAGACUCAGCUACACAAAUUUGAGAGGUCGAAUCAACUAGAAAUUUCUACUCGUUCUUCAAUUUCUUUCUGAUUCUGGUGGAAAUUUUCAAUUCCUACAAGAAUUCUGUAGUAAAUUAGGCAAUCCUAGAAAUGCAGAAUUGCAUGUUCACACAAAAGUCCACCUUCGAUUGCAAAUUUCUCUAGAAAGCAAUCUGAUUGUGUGCAGUAUUUAUUCAGAUCUAAAUUGUUUUUCCACUUUGUCCUAUCUGGUAAACCAAGGAUCUGCUUAUCGCGUAUUAACCAAAAGCCACUCCAGUUUGCUUUGGUUCACAAUUUCUUGCCAGACAGGCCUCAUCUUGAGAGCAAUACUAGUACAUAGAAAAUUGCAUAGCUAAACUUGAUGAUGAGCAGAGAAGGCCUUAGUUUUGCUUCCAACUAUUUUUGAAUAGUGUCUUCAUGCCACAGUGUCUUAUCAAAUGUAUUUGCAUGAUCUAAAAAAGUAAGACCAAUGAAAGCUUAGUCAUAUAUGUAGUAGAACUUUUCUCAUCGAACUUGUAUACCUAGUAGAGUUUUUCUCGUCCAACUUGUAUAUCUUGCUUUAUUACAUAUCAAAUAUUAUUCAGUAAUGGUUCCAUGGAGAGGCCGUAGCAGCUGGAAUGGUGAUAUAUCAAAUAUUAUUCAGUAAUAUUUGCUUGAUGCGAUCAAUUUGAUACAUGACUCAAGCAGUCUGAUCGAACUUGAGCUCUAGAUCACUAAUAUUGGAUUGAAAAUUCCUUAUGUUAGGCUUUUAAGCGUGAAUGACUCCCAAUGAGUGAAGGAGAUGAAACAUAUAAAUUAUAUGCACUAAUCAUAUUGGAUUGAUAUUGGCCUGAUUUUAGUUGUUCUAAUGUUCAUUUUCAGAUGUGCUUGUCUACUUAAUUUGAGUGCGCUAUUGUUACAAAGUGAAAAGAAAAGCUAGACCAAAUCAGUACAACCUAACUUUCAUAUUUUUUAGAAAUUUGAUAUGAUGAUUUUUAUUUGGUAAUUUCAAAUACUGAUUUUAUGACUUCUUUUUGAUUGAUCCAGAACAGCUGGAGCUGCGGAAAUUGAAGUGGGAAGCAAGAGUUUCAAACAUGCAGUGUUUGUUAUUUUUUAGCUAUAUUUUGAACAAGUAUUUUUUGUUAGAACUUAUGUUUGAAAUUUAAUUUGAAUACUGAGAUUGUAAUUUGAGAGUUGAGACUAUUUGUUAUAU
RNAcentral lists this long non-coding RNA (1889 nucleotides) under Ananas comosus (pineapple). Its description in RNAcentral is "long non-coding RNA (ACOM_LNC000547)". The record is from RNAcentral. Lineage: Eukaryota; Viridiplantae; Streptophyta; Magnoliopsida; Poales; Bromeliaceae.